UACGUGGGGGGCAAGCGUUGUUCGGAAUUACUGGGCGUAAAGGGCUCGUAGGUGGCCCACUAAGUCAUGCGUGAAAUCCCUCGGCUUAACCGGGGAACUGCGUCUGAUACUGGAUGGCUUGAGUUUGGGAGAGGGAUGCGGAAUUCCAGGUGUAGCGGUGAAAUGCGUAGAUAUCUGGAGGAACACCGGUGGCGAAGGCGGCAUCCUGGACCAACACUGACACUGAGGAGCGAAAGCCAGGGGAGCAAACGGG
RNAcentral lists this ribosomal RNA (253 nucleotides) under uncultured bacterium. RNAcentral describes it as "partial 16S ribosomal RNA". It matches the Rfam family "Bacterial small subunit ribosomal RNA", at positions 524 to 776 of the family's 1533-position model. The record is from RNAcentral.